RNAcentral lists this ribosomal RNA (301 nucleotides) under uncultured bacterium. RNAcentral's name for it is "partial 16S ribosomal RNA". It matches the Rfam family "Bacterial small subunit ribosomal RNA", at positions 509 to 807 of the family's 1533-position model. The record is from RNAcentral.
CAGCAGCCGCGGUAAUACGAAGGGUGCAAGCGUUACUCGGAAUUACUGGGCGUAAAGCGUGCGUAGGUGGUUGUUUAAGUCUGCUGUGAAAGCCCUGGGCUCAACCUGGGAAUUGCAGUGGAUACUGGGCGACUAGAGUAAGGUAGAGGAUAGUGGAAUUUCCGGUGUAGCAGUGAAAUGCGUAGAGAUCGGAAGGAACAUCUGUGGCGAAGGCGACUAUCUGGGCCAUUACUGACACUGAGGCACGAAAGCGUGGGGAGCAAACAGGAUUAGAUACCCCAGUAGUCCCUGUCUCUUAUAC